This 5290-nucleotide long non-coding RNA is filed under the name Homo sapiens (human). Its description in RNAcentral is "HSALNT0115175". Lineage: Eukaryota; Metazoa; Chordata; Mammalia; Primates; Hominidae. The record is from RNAcentral.
GAAAUAUGGCUAGAAAUGCAUCUUCUGUUCAGUUUGGGAAAAGAAAUAUUCUUUUAGAGUUUUCAACCAAAUGGCAUAAUAUAUCUCGACAUUUAACUUCUGUUUGAUUUUGAAACUCUUAUAUGUUUUCCUUACAGGCAUUUUGGAAGAGUGUGUAUCCUGCUAUGAGAUUCAACUGCAUCAGCUGCCUGGGUGAGGCUAAGAGAAGGCAGGGAGUUGGAUGUUACCAGGAGCGGAGGUAUUUCCAGGUGAGGUUUAAGUUAUACCACGAAUCCUCAACUGCUGUGAGGUAAGAACAUUUAAUUUUUAUUUUUUCUUGGAGUCUUGUGCAUCCAGGUUGGACGAGGAGAGAAGGAGAGGCUGGCAGGAACUCUUUUUCUGGAUCAGGUUGUCUGUAGCCCCAAGACUGAGUGCACACGUUUCCAUCAAGCCAGGCAGAAGGGCCACCAGGUGACCGCAGCAGCCAACCCCAAGGGGUCUCUGGCAGAGCUUUGGGCUUCUCUGCAGAUGUCGAGGUUGGAUUUAUUCUUCCUGCCCUCCUACCGAGCAUGUCUUGGGGAUUAGUGGGAAACUGACUGUAAAGAUCUUUUGCUUCCUUUUUGCAUAUAGCUAUGUAAUCUGACUUCAGGUGAAAAUUUAUGUCUAAGUGGUAAAUGUUUUUGAGAACCCAGUGAGGAUUGUGAAUCCCUUUGCCAGUUUCAUGAUGGAGGGAGUUAACAUGGAUCAUAAAAGGGCUGAAAGAGUGUCUGAGGUUACCUCUACCUUGUAUCACCAUACGAAGUAGCCAACAACUCCAUGAGAUAAGUUUUUCUCCAGCAGCAUCAUUGGAGCUUGCAGCACAAGUUGGAAAAGAUGGGGAAAACCCACUUUUCUCUUAUAUGAAAAUGACUUCUCCCAAUCCUGUUUUGUCUCAGCAUACAAUAUAUAUGGUUGUUAAUUUACUACCCACAGCAUCAUGGACUCAUCCUCUUCCCUGAAUCGCUUGUAAAUAUUUUCUCAAACUGAGUGUAUUUUCCAAUGUUUAUCCAGGUAUCUGCAUAUCCAACUCUUCAUUGUCCCUGGUGCAGGUUAACCAUGCUCUGCAGGGUACCUCUUUAUCCCCUCAGCCUGUCCCAGGCCUCCUGCCAGUGUCCACAGUGCUGUGCGUUGGGUGUCUAAUUCCACCUCCCCCUGAGAGGUAGGUGGCCAGCCACCCCUAGGAGAAGCUGACACCAAGGGUGGCCAUAUGGGGGGAAGGAAGAGGUUGGUGCUGGUUACCUCCCACCUUGGACUAUGUUCAUUUCUCUUUUCCUUACUGCAGGUCACUGACAUGUGAACACAUGCUCCUAACAAGUUGACCCCAGUCUUGCUGAAAUUGCCUAGACUGUAUUAUUUUCUUCCCCAUACUUGACAUAGAGCAUAAGCUGAGAGGUACAUAAUACAUGCCAUAAUUUAUGACGGUGCUUAGGUAAAGCCAUGCAAACUCGUCUAUCAUUGCCAGGUUCAUUUCCAGUGGUGUUCAUUGAAGGUAAGUUGACUCAUUUAUACAAAACAAUUCCCUCAUUUCCCUUUGAGCAAUUGUCAAGUGUGCUUGACGCAGGCCAAGUGACCUUCAAAUGCGGAGUGGGGUUUGGCCUGGAAUGUCAGUGUGCAUUUGGCAGCAUGAAUUGCUCCAAAGAAUCCUGAUUUCUUAUGCAUGAACUGCUGACCCCAGCACUGGGGCCUGGAGAGCGGGACGGGAAGGAAGGUGAACUCCUGCUGAUUCAGGGGCCCUCCCAGCAGCCUUUCCACGGUGUCAGCAGUAUUCACAUCACUUUCCUCUCCUCCCUCUUCCGCCCCACCGUAAGUCCUGUCCCUGGAAGCACUUUUCAGUUGCCAGGAAUCAUGAACAUUAGGAAACAAUCCAAAAAAACGGGGUGUCUACUUUAUAUUCUGUGGCCCACACGGUCACACAUGGGCCUGGUUUUAACACCGGGUCAUAGGUGUGGAAACAGCCUGGCCUAGAGGAAGGAACACUGAACCAGUGAGAGAGGCCUUCAGUGACUCCAGGACCAAGCAAGUGUGUGGCCUGGAGGCUGGCCUUUCUAAGAGGCCUGUCUCGGUGGAAACGGAGGAAUGUUCUACUGCUGGCUUUCCAGAGCGCUCCUCUAGCCCCACUACUUGGAGCGAUGCUUCCCGGUGUUGAAGCUGCAGAUCUAAGGACCAUGUUUCUUCAAACACAACCAGGCCUCUAGGGCAAGAUCGUUUCCAGGAGAUGUAAUGAAAUAUGAAGGAAAACGCCCAGCAGGCAACAUGCCUGCCUGCUGAGGAUCACAGGAAACAGCCUUACUACCAAUCUACCAAUACUGGGCCCUGAGCUGGAGAAACAGCUCCUUUUUUCAUUUCAAAAUAUCACUAAUGUUCCAUGGUGCAGGACAUAUUUCAAAUGCCUCAAUUGGAAAAAACAGGCUCCAAAGGCAUCACGGUGUGCCUGUGGCUCUUGUCUGUGCUAGGCAGCAGCACAAGGGCCUGCUCAUUAGCUCACUGAUGACAGGUUUAUCCGCAACUGUAUAUCAAGCAAUGAGAAAGUCAGCUGUGCGAGCAAACGUCCCUCAGUCAUAUUGCACAAAGCCUUCGUAAAGGGAUAGAGUGCUGAAAGCCUCCUAACUCCUCUCUAGCUGAACAUCUUUUCCCCUCCGCUACCUCUGAACCUCUCAUCCUUCCAACUCAGCUCAAGAACGCAGAAGCUGUUUGCCGACCCCUUCUGCUAGUGUCCUGUCCUUGGUAAUUCAAAGACGCCCCCGGGAUGGCCCACAAAGAGCCCUGUGUGCAUGCACACGCGCCACUGUCACUGAUAAGGCCACUGGGUGGUGAGCGGUUCUUUUCACACUUCACAUCCAGAGGCUUUUCCUGUGAUUUGUGUGUGAAGCACCUGUUUGCAUGGUCCGUCCACCCUUAUCUGAGAUUCUGCCUCUUAGGCACCAGGGCAGGUUGAAGCCUUUUUCACCCACUUACAAAGCAACAGCUUAUUCCUGAGAAGUGUGUCAAGCUGGUAUGUCCACUGUGCUCCCCAGACUCACCAAUAAGAUCACUGACUUAAUUGUUUUCUGCCCCUUACUUUUAGAAGAAAGAAGUUAGGCAAUCUAAAGGAGUCAAACUGAUAAUGUUGCUUUUGAAAAAAAGUAAACAAAUAAUAAAACAUCUCCCAGAGUGUAUGGGGUCCAAAACACAUUUAACCCAGUUUCUCACACUUUCCAUAUGAACAUUUACUCAAUAAUCCUACGUGAUGUUUAGAAUGAAUAAUUACUGUGGGGCCCCUCAUCAAACAUCAGAAAGAGACCAAUAGGUUCGAUAUUUUGCCGUAAAGCAGGAAAUUGAACUAAGUAUCAAGAAAUAAAUACCAACAGAGAGAAUAACAAAGGAAGGAAGGAGGGAUUAAUUGUCAUUGUUAGAGAAAAACUCAUUUUCUGAUGAUGAUGGUCAAGACCUUAUCUUAUAAUCCUCCUAACUAUAGCCUCCUUUUCUUUGCAUUGGGUACCCAACAUCCAUUAUGACUGUUGUCUCCAGAAGCCCAGAGACAUUCAUCUUUUUGCUCUCCUUUCACUGAUGAGGAGACUGGACGUCACGUGAUAAUUCAGCUGCCCAGUCUUAUGGCAAGCGAGAGAGACCUAUUUUGAACUGAGGCAUGCUGGACUUCAAAGUCCAUGUUCUUGCUCUUAGAGCAAGUCUCUAAAACAAGAUUUUCACUAAUUCUUAACAAUUUAUUGAGUUCAGCAGUUACUGAGCAUCUAUCAUGUCUUGGCAGUGAUAGGGAAUACAGAUAUAAAAAAGUUACAGCCCUACCUUCACUUGAGCCAAAAAUAUUUUUCUUUAGGGAAUCUUUAGAACAAACACUUUCAGAAAAUUUUUCUAAUUGAGCUUGAGAUGUUGACUUGACUCUCAUUUUUAAAACUAACUAAUUGGCUAUCAAAAUGGCAACACUUACAAGAUAAUGCUUUCUGUAUUUCUUCAUGCAUUUAACUCCCUAACUAAUGAAAAACUUCAUGAUAUUUUCUCCCAAAGGAGGGGAUAGAAGUGUCUUUUCUUCUCACACUGUGAAGACAAGUAAACGUAAUUUAGUUUCAAUACAGUUAUAUUAGCUUUAGAUAAUAAUGAGCUAUUGCCAUAUAUCAGACCACAAAAAAAGAACCAAAACUAAACAUUAAUACAAGGUAUGUUUUUAUUUCUAUUAUACUUUAAGUUCUGGGAUACAUGUGCAGAAUUUGCAGGUUUGUUACAUAAGUAUACACGUGCCAUGGUGGUUUGCUGCACCCAUCAACCCAUCAUCUACAUUAGGUAUUUCUCCUAAUGCUAUUCCUCCCCUAGCCCUCCACCCCCCAACAGGCCCCAGUGUGCGAUGUUCCCCUCCCUGUGUCCAUGUGUUCUCAUUGUUCAAUGUGUAACAGAGUUGGAGUAUGGCUUCUAAAAAUCAUAAUUUCAUAUGCAUAAUGGCAAUUGCUAGACAAGAAUUCUGUAACUAGAGCUAGUUACAUGAGCAAAAACUGCCUCAUAGUUCAGGUUGCAAAGUGGGCAGCCAUUAUAGCCCAGAAGACACUCCCAGAAGAAAUUGGUGAGCUAACUUUGUAUAUUUAUGAACAUUUUUGGUAUUUUCAGUCUUUCCGAAGCACCUGGUGAUGGCCAGUGUGGAAGACUAGGUGGAGCAUGACAAGAUCAUUGUCUGUAAGCACUCACUGUGCUGUUUCUAGAAGACGCUUCUGUAGGUGAAUAAAGGUGGUUAUUGCUGAGUCUUUCUUCACCAAAAAAUAAUGAAACUAAUUUAAUAGGCUGAUUUGGAAAAGAGCCUAGUAAAAUCCGCUGCAGAAUUGGGAUUUGCUUUGAAAAGUGUCUCUGUCCUUACAGGCACACUGAUGGAGUAUUGUUUUGUUCCUCAUGUGGCAUUUUUCAAGCCACUUCAAGUCUGUUUUCAAACUAAAUUGGGAAUUAAAAAAUCAUAUGAUAAGUAAAUUGAAAAAUGUAACUCACUAGUGUCCAUUCUCUAGCAUCCAAAGUAUUUGACCUAUUACAAAUUUAUCAACAGUAAAUAUUUCUUAGACUAAUUUGUAACCUGUUAUAAAUUCACCCAAAGGAAUAGUAAUUUUCAUAAUAAUGGAAUAAAAGAGCUUUCAAUGUCCCUUAUGAAGCUGUGUUCAAUGGAAAUAAAGCAUUGGGUGUAGCGGUGGGUAUGUGAAUGGAUGGAGAACUGGCUGAGCAGCCUAUGGGUUGAUUAGCCAUAGAAACAUUGGGCCUUGAUUGCUGCAAGCCCUCAGCCUGGGCCCAGUUUAAGAGCAGCCUG